Non-coding RNA from Dipodomys ordii (Ord's kangaroo rat), 72 nucleotides. Lineage: Eukaryota; Metazoa; Chordata; Mammalia; Rodentia; Heteromyidae. The record is from Rfam.
GGGAAGGUGGCUCAGUGGUAGAGUGCUUGCCUUGCACGCAUGGGGCCCUGGGUUCAAUUCCUCAGCACCCCA